GGAAAAUCAGUGAUGCUAGGUUAACAAAUUUCGAAUUAUAAAUAUGGUUGUCUGAUCAUAUGGCAAAAUCGUCUUUUAUGGUGUUAUUUAAUCUAUAAUUCUGUAGAGGGUGGAUAUAAAAUUGACAUAUUUGUAGUAUUUCCCAACACAUUAUCUAUAUAUUUAUCACAAUAAUACUAAUUUCUGACAGGUUAUGUAAGGAAAAUGGUAGCUAUACUUAACCUACGGACAUGUGUAGCGGGCAGUUGUAAUUAUUACAUGUACCAUGUUGUUUUAUGCAGAUAUGAUAAUUGACGUGUGUGAGAAACUCGUAAGUGAUCAGCUGUGAUUAAUGAACCGUAACUAAGUGAAAUGUGCAUGCGCAGGAAAUCAUUAAUCAAGGUGACGAACAUGUGAACUCCCUGACGAACAUUAUUGACAGUUAUGGAUGACCUGAAAAUAACAGAAGGCAGCAAAAUAACAAAAUGUGGUUAAAUGCUG
Molecule: long non-coding RNA, 480 nt
Filed under: Mytilus galloprovincialis (Mediterranean mussel)
Lineage: Eukaryota; Metazoa; Mollusca; Bivalvia; Mytilida; Mytilidae
Source: RNAcentral